UCUUAAAAUCCCGUAUAAAUGUCUUCAAAUAAUUGUACUAUUUUCCUCCUUCUUUUUUUUGAACAAUUCUCUUCCUCCUCUUUAUUAUUGGUCUUCUCUGUUUUUUUUUGGUACAAAUUAUUGGUCUUCUCUAAAUAAAUAAAAAAUUAAUACAGAAAAUAAUCUUAACCUAAUCAAAUAAAUUUAAUUCACUCUAAGAAAAGAAUAUCAUUGAUCCCGUC
Molecule: long non-coding RNA, 221 nt
Filed under: Trifolium pratense (red clover)
Lineage: Eukaryota; Viridiplantae; Streptophyta; Magnoliopsida; Fabales; Fabaceae
Description: long non-coding RNA (TPRA_LNC010560)
Source: RNAcentral